Molecule: long non-coding RNA, 312 nt
Filed under: Salvia miltiorrhiza (redroot sage)
Lineage: Eukaryota; Viridiplantae; Streptophyta; Magnoliopsida; Lamiales; Lamiaceae
Description: long non-coding RNA (SMIL_LNC007856)
Source: RNAcentral
CCCCAAAGGUAAAACGACUUCGUCUCGGCGGAUGUAGCACCACAAUCCGGCGAGCUCCGGCGAACUGAAUAAGGAUCGAAAACUGAGCUAGAGGUGGAAUGCAGAAUGCAGACUAUUUUGUGAGUUGUGAGUUGUGAGUUGUGAGUUUUCAGAGUGAAUUCUAAAGCUCACCACACACCCAUAUUUAUAGAUGUUAAACCGAGUGUGAACGGAUCGGCAGUCAACUCCGGCGGCUGCGGUAGGUGGCCGCAAUCGUUGAACGCAGAAGUUGAAACAGUCAAUUCCGGCGGCUGCGGUAGGUGGCCGCAAUCA